GGGGCUGAGUAGGGCCCUAAUUUGUGAAGACUGUAUAAGUUGUGGAGAUUUGACGAGCGGAGCAUGCAUAAUAUUGUUAGGAGAUCGGUCUUAAGCCGACCCAUUGGAGUAGCCCGAGUUUGGGCGAGAUGAGACUCCAACGUUGGAUGAAACUCCGCUUAGCAGUAUGUAGAUAAAAUUUGACAGGGGGGGCAUCGAGUUAGAUGUACCUCUUGCGUUCUUAGAGUCGUGCUCCACAUGGUGGAGUUGGUUGCUUCCUUUCCUCGUCGACUUCCGGAGUCAUUUUUGACUUGUAAGGGGGCUCGGGCUUCUCGCGGACCCGACGACGCCCGCCGAAGUUGAGAGGAUCUGGGGAGGUUUUAUUGAUUUGUAACUCCUUUCGAGGUCAAGGGAGCUUGAGACCCUAUGGUCGGACCUCGGGGGCGCCCCAACCUUGGUCGAGGAGUCUUGUGUCAGGUCGGCGGGUUUGAGUACGCUUUGCCGACCUGUGGUGCAUCCCGAGGUCGAGGGAGUUUGGGACUCUACGGUCGACCCUCGGGGCAUCCCGACCUUAGUCGAGGGAUCGUUCGUCAGGUCGAUGGGUCUGGGCACGCGCUACCGACCUGCGACGCUUCCCG
This 617-nucleotide long non-coding RNA is filed under the name Phoenix dactylifera (date palm). RNAcentral describes it as "long non-coding RNA (PDAC_LNC020452)". Lineage: Eukaryota; Viridiplantae; Streptophyta; Magnoliopsida; Arecales; Arecaceae. The record is from RNAcentral.